This 371-nucleotide unclassified non-coding RNA is filed under the name soil metagenome. Its description in RNAcentral is "partial contains 5.8S ribosomal RNA, internal transcribed spacer 2, and large subunit ribosomal RNA". The stretch from base 1 to 120 matches the Rfam family "5.8S ribosomal RNA", at positions 35 to 154 of the family's 154-position model. The record is from RNAcentral.
GAUGAAGAACGCAGCGAAAUGCGAUAAGUAAUGUGAAUUGCAGAAUUCAGUGAAUCAUCGAAUCUUUGAACGCAUAUUGCGCCCCCUGGAAUUCCGGGGGGCAUGCCUGUUCGAGCGUCUCAGGGACGAACCCUCGCGCGGGUGUACGCGCGGUCGUGGCUGCGGUGGCGUGCCCGAGGCGGCGGCCACCGCGCUGGAAUCCAUGGGCGGACGCCUGCCGCGUGGCCGAGCGUGAUAUGACGCAUUGGCGCUCGCACGCGGCGAGGCUGCCAGCCCUGGCCCGUCUGUCGGGCGGGGGAGAGCAAGACACGUGAACUCCUCGAAUCAGGUAGGGAUACCCGCUGAACUUAAGCAUAUCAAUAAGCGGAGGA